Long non-coding RNA from Scaptodrosophila lebanonensis, 288 nucleotides. RefSeq lists it as uncharacterized. The transcript is spliced from 3 exons. The record is from RefSeq and is a predicted model, not a curated record. Lineage: Eukaryota; Metazoa; Arthropoda; Insecta; Diptera; Drosophilidae.
UAUAUACUUUGUGAGGUCUGCCACGUCUCCUUACAUUCUUAGUUAACUAGUAAAGGAUUUUCCCCUUUAGCCUUUUACCCACAAGUUCAGCGUGAUUAUAAAUUGAGGAUGUAUCCGCUUGGACUACAAACAAAAAACAAACGAAAAAGCUCUCAAAAUGAAGAUUCAGAUGUCUUUGCUGGUUAUGGCUAUUGUGGCAGUUGUAGGCACCGUUCACGGACGUAGAAAGUAGAAGCCCAAUUACAAAUUUGUUCUGAAUGUCGAAUACAGAAAAACUUAUGAAUUGUA